This 445-nucleotide ribosomal RNA is filed under the name Ornithopus perpusillus. RNAcentral describes it as "eukaryotic LSU rRNA". The stretch from base 305 to 445 matches the Rfam family "Eukaryotic large subunit ribosomal RNA", at positions 1 to 141 of the family's 3401-position model. The record is from RNAcentral. Lineage: Eukaryota; Viridiplantae; Streptophyta; Magnoliopsida; Fabales; Fabaceae.
UGCAGAAUCCCGUGAACCAUCGAGUCUUUGAACGCAAGUUGCGCCCGAUGCCAUUAGGUUGAGGGCACGUCUGCCUGGGUGUCACACAUCGUUGCCCCAACUCCUAACGCCUCGCGCUAGGAUGAUACUUGGGGCGAAUGUUGGCGUCCCGUGAGAUUACUCUCGCGGUUUGCUGAAAUCUGAGUCCAUGGUAUGUGUUUUCCAUGAUGGAUGGUGGUUGAGUACAAUCUCGAAGGCCAAUCAACGAAAACUCUACUCUUCUCGGGCUCCUGUGACCCAUAUGCGUUAAAGUGCGCUUACAAUGAGACCUCAGGUCAGGCGGGGCUACCCGCUGAGUUUAAGCAUAUCAAUAAGCGGAGGAAAAGAAACUAACAAGGAUUCCCUUAGUAACGGCGAGCGAACCGGGAAGAGCCCACCAUGAGAAUCGGUCGCCUUUGGCGUCUGA